This 253-nucleotide ribosomal RNA is filed under the name uncultured bacterium. Its description in RNAcentral is "partial 16S ribosomal RNA". It matches the Rfam family "Bacterial small subunit ribosomal RNA", at positions 524 to 776 of the family's 1533-position model. The record is from RNAcentral.
UACGAAGUUCCCGAGCGUUGUUCGGAAUCACUGGGCGUAAAGGGAGCGUAGGCGGCGCGGUAAGUCAGAUGUGAAAUCCCGGGGCUCAACCCCGGAACUGCAUCCGAUACUGCCGUGCUAGAGGAUUGGAGAGGUAGCUGGAAUUCUUGGUGUAGCAGUGAAAUGCGUGGAUAUCAAGAGGAACACUCGUGGCGAAAGCGAGCUACUGGACAACUCCUGACACUGAGGAGCGAAAGCCAGGGGAGCAAACGGG